This 506-nucleotide ribosomal RNA is filed under the name uncultured bacterium. Its description in RNAcentral is "partial 16S ribosomal RNA". It matches the Rfam family "Bacterial small subunit ribosomal RNA", at positions 29 to 523 of the family's 1533-position model. The record is from RNAcentral.
AGUGAACGCUGGCGGUAGGCCUAACACAUGCAAGUCGAACGGCAGCACAGAGGAGAUUGCUCCGUGGGUGGGGAGAGGCGGACGGGUGAGGAAUACAUCGGAAUCUACUCUGUCGUGGGGGAUAACGUAGGGAAACUUACGCUAAUACCGCAUACGAUAUACGGGGGAAAGAAGGGGAUCUUCGGACCUUGCGCGAUUGAAUGAGCCGAUGACUGAGUAGCUAGUUGGCGGGGUAAAGGCCCACCAAGGCGACGGUCCGUAGCUGGGCUGGGGGGAUGUUCCACCACACGGGAACUGAGACACAGUCCAGACGCCUACGGGAGGGAGCAGUGUUGAAUAUUGGACAAUGGGCGCAAGCCUGAUCCAGCCCUACCGCGUGGGUGAAGAAGGCCCUCGGGUUGUGAAGCCCGUUUGUUGGUAGGGAAAUCCAUCUAGUUAGUACCCGGCUGGGAUGACGGUACCCAAAGAAUAAGCACCGGCUAACUUCGUGCCAGCCGCCGCCGUAA